This 407-nucleotide ribosomal RNA is filed under the name uncultured bacterium. RNAcentral describes it as "partial 16S ribosomal RNA". It matches the Rfam family "Bacterial small subunit ribosomal RNA", at positions 30 to 526 of the family's 1533-position model. The record is from RNAcentral.
AUUGAACGCUGGCGGCAGGUCUAACACAUGCAAGUCGAACGGAGUGGCGGACUGGUGAGUAAUGUCUGGGAAACUUCCUGAUGGAGGGGGAUAACGUCCGGACACGGGCGCUAAUACCGCAUACUAUCAGAUGAGCCUAGGUCGGAUUAGCUAGUUGUUGGGGUAAAGGCUUACAAAGGCGACGAUCCGUAACUGGUCUGAGAGGAUGAUCAGUCACACGGGGACUGAGACACGGCCCAGACUCCUACGGGAGGCAGCAGUGGGGAAUAUUGGACAAUGGGCGAUAGCCUGAUCCAGCCAUGCCGCGUGUGUGAAGAAGGUCUUCGGAUUGUAAAGCACUUUAAGUUGGGAGGCGUUACCAACAGAAUAAGCACCGGCUAACUUCGUGACAGCAGCCGCGGUAAUUC